Molecule: ribosomal RNA, 489 nt
Filed under: uncultured bacterium
Lineage: Bacteria
Description: bacterial SSU rRNA
Rfam family: Bacterial small subunit ribosomal RNA
Source: RNAcentral
CUACGUGCCAGCAGCCGCGGUAAUACGUAUGUCGCAAGCGUUAUCCGGAAUUAUUGGGCAUAAAGGGCAUCUAGGCGGCCAGAUAAGUCUGGGGUGAAAACUUGCGGCUCAACCGCAAGCCUGCCCUGGAAACUAUGUGGCUAGAGUACUGGAGAGGUGGACGGAACUGCACGAGUAGAGGUGAAAUUCGUAGAUAUGUGCAGGAAUGCCGAUGAUGAAGAUAGUUCACUGGACGGUAACUGACGCUGAAGUGCGAAAGCUAGGGGAGCAAACAGGAUUAGAUACCCUGGUAGUCCUAGCUGUAAACGAUGAUUACUGGGUGUGGGCAUGAAGAGUGUCCGUGCCGAAGUUAAUGCGAUAAGUAAUCCGCCUGGGGAGUACGGCCGCAAGGCUGAAACUCAAAGGAAUUGACGGGGACCCGCACAAGCGGUGGAGCAUGUGGUUUAAUUCGACGCAACGCGAGGAACCUUACCAGAUCUUGACAUCCCG